ACAGCUUUAUUGCGACAUGUAGUCGUACGCGAUUUUUUUUUACAAAUUUCUAAAUAAAAUUAACGAUUCAUACAAAUUAACACCAUAAUAUUGUUGGUAUGGCCGCAGUUGUAGAUGUCUAUAUUAAAAAUACAUUGACUUUCUACUACUGCGGAUCGUAUCGAACAACUAUUUAAUUGCAAAGUCAAAUCGAUUCAAAAUACACACAUUUUUCAAUAUAUAAUUAAUAUUUCUUUUAUAAACAUUAAUAUUCACCGUAAAUAAGAACAUAUGAUAUGGAGUACAUACUAUUAUAACAAUGUAUAACAUAUAAGGCUCCAUUUCAACGUUUUGUCUUGUCGAAAUUAUCUUUUCGUUUUAUUUAUUUUUAAAUAUGUCUUUAAGAUAUUCAUCGAAUAAUACAUAUAUUAAAAUGUUCAAAACAGACAAAUUCAAUAAUUUUUCUUAAAGAUAAUACUCAAUUAUAAUUAUAAUAUUUUUGUUAUACAAAUUAACUUUCACAUUUUUACUAUAAUAUCUUUAUUAUACAACUUAACUUUUAUAUUUUUUUUAAGAUAUCUUUAUUAUACAACUUAACUUUCUUUCUUUUUUUUUCUAUACAUUUUAUUAAUAAUUGUUCUAUUGAUUCGACUAAAAUGUUUUGAGUCUAGAGCAUGUUUACAUUUUUUACUUACAUUAAAAUAUUAUACAUAUUUUACUUACAAAACAAUAUCGCAUAAACACAAUAUAAAAUAAUUGUAUCUUAAAUAUAAUUAAUAUAUUGGACAACUAAUUUAAUUUAAUGUUCGACGAGACAAAAUUUAGUCUAAAACACUAAAAGACCGAAUUCAUUUUUAAUCCACAACAUUUGCAGUUUUAUAAGUUAUAGGACAAUCGUGAACAAACAACGUUUUGAUUCGACAACUCAAAAUAAAAAUAUAAAUUUGGAAAAUUUGGGCCGACUGAGGAAAAUACAAACGGCUUGGAAGUUCAUCCGUCUAGAAGUCGAGGAGAAGAAUUCAUAUCUACAGAAAUAUAUUCGACCUAAAUACCUAACCACGUAACCAAGAUACAGUUUAUAGACAAAAUCUCGGCAAGACGCACAAAUGUUCAAGUCAUUAUCUGAGGCACAACUUAUGGACCAGCAGAAUCUAUCGUAAAAAUGUCAAUAAAACAUAAUACCGAUAUUAUAUCAGUGUUCGCAGUUCACUAUCUCCAUCGUAAAUCAGGCACUGAACCAAUCGGUCAAGGUUAUGCACCCAAUAUACAUUGCGUGGAUACGAGAUACAACUAGACCUACAUUUCAAUAUUUCAGAUAACAAAAUUGGCCGUUUUCAGACGAUUUGAUGCGGGAGUCAUUUAUGCCACAAGAUAAAAACGUCGACCAAAGGCAUGUUUUUUUUAUUCAGUAACCUGAAUAAAUUCCAAAUAUGAUUUAAUAUUUAAAGGACCUUUACAACACAUUUCUUGCACGAGUAUCUGACGACCAUGUGUUACACUCGGUGAACGCUCGAUACGUAUAAUUAUAUGCACGUCCAAGGAUCGUCCGCAAUCGCCGAAAAUUAUUAAUUAUUGUUUAGUAUUACAAUAUUAAUGUACCUAUAGGCUAUAGGUAGAAUGAAAACGUAUGACGAUGUACAAUAUUAUAAAAUAUGCAGUGUUGUAAAAGAUAAUUUUUAAAACUAUUCAAGUACUGCAGAUACAUACUUUAAAAGAGCAUCUAUAGAUACUUUAAACUACUUUCAAAUUGUAUACAUAUAAUUUUAUUUUUUUUACCUAUCAAUUAAACCAAAUUUUGUUGGCAUUUCCAUGUCUUACAUCAAUUAUAUAGAGCAUUAAUUUAUAUCGUAUCAUACUAUUAUUUGGGGUGAUUAUAAAUUAAUCACCUGUUUUCUUCGUUAAGGAUUGAGGAGUAUACUUAAGUCACACAAAAAAAUAUGAAUACCUAUUAUUGUAUACCUACACGCCUAUACACGGUAUAUUCUGGAAUUUUGAAUUGAAUAAUUUAUUAUUUAUAUUGAAUACGUUUCUGAAAAUUAUAACCCAAAAGUGUGAAACGAUAGACAUAUUUAUACAAAUUGAACUUCUGUCGAAUUCGUAAUAUUUAAUCAUGUAGGUUGGAUAUAUAUUUUCACUCAAACGCACACAUCCAUUUCUUAUUAUAUUUUUUAUUCUACGUGUUUGAAUUUAAAAUAAAAAACAUAUAAGCUAAAAAGAAGUAUUUGAACAUUUAUAUUUAAUUUUUUAUAUAGAUACUUUGAUAAAGUACUUAAAAUACGUAUCUGAGCACUUAAAAUAAUUUUAAUAAUUUUAAUCAAGUACAUUAGAUUACUGAAAUAUGUAAUUCUACUGCAGUAUACUAAUAAGUAAUUGUAAUAUAUUAUGACAUGAUUUCAGAUUUAAAUUAUUUAGUCGUAUGAAAUUAAGUUUUGUGAUUGGUGUAAAUAAUAUGAACUGACUUCUCGACUAUGUAUUACGCUGAUAAUUUUAGUCUACACGAGUAAAUAAAACAGUGUGUUAAAAAUGUAAAAUAUUUACAGUGACGUCAUGACAAUAUACGUUUUAAUCAUAAUUUUGCAUUAACUCAAAUGGUUCAAUCAAACUGUGUUUUUUUUUUUUUAUUAUUGUUUCGUCAAUUAAAUAACAUAUAAAUAAUUAAAAUGUUCAAUAUUUUUGAUUAAUUAACCUCUAUAAGCAAAGCUUGUGAUGAGGUAAAUGAGUUACAACAUGUAGUUAAUAGUUAUAUUAUAAUAAUUACUUAAAAAUAAUAAAUACAAUUUAAAUUAUUUAAUCAUACUUAUCACGAUAAUGA
Molecule: long non-coding RNA, 2791 nt
Organism: Metopolophium dirhodum (rose-grain aphid)
Lineage: Eukaryota; Metazoa; Arthropoda; Insecta; Hemiptera; Aphididae
Exons: 4
Source: RefSeq, a predicted model, not a curated record